AAUGAACGCUGGCGGCGUGCCUAACACAUGCAAGUCGAAUGUGCCGUUCAUCUUCGGAUGGACGGUGCAUGGCAGACGGGUGAGUAACGCGUGGGCAAUCUACCUUUUAGUGGGGAAUAACGAUCCGAAAGGGUUGGUAAUACCGCAUGAGACCGGCGGCUGGGAUGCUGCCGGUGAAACCUGGGGACCNCGAUUUUCGGAUCGGGGCCUGGGGACUAAAAGNGGAGCCUGCGUCNGAUUAGCUAGUUGGUGGGUAACGGCCUACCAAGGCAUCGAUCAGUAGCCGGCCUGAGAGGGUGA
Molecule: ribosomal RNA, 300 nt
Filed under: uncultured bacterium
Lineage: Bacteria
Description: bacterial SSU rRNA
Rfam family: Bacterial small subunit ribosomal RNA
Source: RNAcentral